Perognathus longimembris pacificus (Pacific pocket mouse) is the source of this 159-nucleotide long non-coding RNA. RefSeq lists it as uncharacterized. The record is from RefSeq and is a predicted model, not a curated record. Lineage: Eukaryota; Metazoa; Chordata; Mammalia; Rodentia; Heteromyidae. The transcript is spliced from 3 exons.
GCACACAUGCAUGCACACGCACACAUGCACGCACACAUGCACACGUGCGUGCACACACACACACACACACGAUUGGUUCAGUAUGGAUCAACUCUGUAAGCUGGUAACUAAGACAAAGCUCUGAAGAAAUCCUAAGUGAGCAUCUAGGGAGGAAAACCU